This 615-nucleotide ribosomal RNA is filed under the name uncultured bacterium. Its description in RNAcentral is "bacterial SSU rRNA". The stretch from base 1 to 535 matches the Rfam family "Bacterial small subunit ribosomal RNA", at positions 338 to 873 of the family's 1533-position model. The record is from RNAcentral.
CCUACGGGAGGCAGCAGUAGGGAAUAUUGGACAAUGGACGCAAGUCUGAUCCAGCCAUCCCGCGUGAAGGAUUAAGGCCCUAUGGGUUGUAAACUUCUUUUCUUUGGGAAUAAAAAGCGGUAUUCAUAUCGCCUUGAAGGUACCAGAGGAAUAAGCACCGGCUAACUCCGUGCCAGCAGCCGCGGUAAUACGGAGGGUGCAAGCGUUAUCCGGAUUCACUGGGUUUAAAGGGUGCGUAGGUGGCUUUGUAAGUCAGCGGUGAAAGCCUGGAGCUCAACUCCAGAAUUGCCAUUGAUACUGCAGAGCUUGAAUCAAGUUGAGGUGGAUGGAAUAUUACAUGUAGCGGUGAAAUGCUUAGAUAUGUAAUAGAACACCGAUUGCGAAGGCAGUUCACUAAGCUUGUAUUGACACUGAGGCACGAAAGCGUGGGGAUCAAACAGGAUUAGAUACCCUGGUAGUCCACGCCCUAAACGAUGCAAACUCGACAUUAGCGAUAUACGGUUAGUGUCCAAGCGAAAGCGUUAAGUUUGCCACCNGGAGACGACCGCGAGUAGUAACGUAAAGUAGUAGUUAGACGGCGUGAGAGUAGCCGACGGACGACGACGAGGGAGGAGG